AUGCCGAAAGGAAAGAAGACCAAGGGGAAGAAGGUGGCCCCAACCCCUGCUGUCGUGAAGAAGCAGGAUGCCAAGAAAGUGGUGAAUUCCCUGUUUGAGAAACGGCCUAAGAAUUUUGGCACUGGAGAGGACAUCCAGCCCCAAAAGGUGCCUCACCUGCUUUGUCAAAUGCCCCCACUAUAUCAGGUUGCAGCAGCAAAGAGCUAUCCUCUAUAAGCAGUUGAAAGUGCCUCCUACAAUUAACCAGUUCACCCAGGCCUUGGAUCGCCACAUAGCUACUCGGCUGCUUAAGCGGGCCCACAAGUACAGACCAGAAACAAAGCAAGAGAAGCAGAGACUGUUGGCCCAGGCUGAGAAGAAAGCUGCCAGCAAAGGGGAUGUCCCCCACUAAGAGAUCACCUGUCCUUCGAGCAGGAGUUAACGCCAUCACCACCUUGGUGGAGUGCAAGAUGGCUCAGCUGGUGGUGAUGGCACACCACGUGGAUCCCAUUGAGCUGGUUGUCUUCCUGCCUGUCCUGUGUCAUAAAAUGGGGUUCCCCCACUGCAUUAUCAAGGGGAAGGCAAGACUGGGAUGUUUAGUCCACAGGAAGACCUCCACCACUGUCGCCUUCACAGAGGUUAACUCAGAAGACAAAGGAGCUUUGGCUAAGCUGGUGGAAGCUAUCAGGACCAAUUCCAGCGACAGAUAUGAUGAGAUCCAUUGUCACUGGGGAGGCAAUGUCCUGGGUCCCAAAUCUGUGGCUCACUUUGCCAAGCUGGAAAAGGCAAAGGUGAAUGAACUUGCCAUUAAACUGGGUUAA
RNAcentral lists this long non-coding RNA (800 nucleotides) under Homo sapiens (human). RNAcentral's name for it is "non-protein coding lnc-ZDHHC17-10:1". The record is from RNAcentral. Lineage: Eukaryota; Metazoa; Chordata; Mammalia; Primates; Hominidae.